RNAcentral lists this ribosomal RNA (223 nucleotides) under uncultured bacterium. RNAcentral's name for it is "partial 16S ribosomal RNA". It matches the Rfam family "Bacterial small subunit ribosomal RNA", at positions 116 to 334 of the family's 1533-position model. The record is from RNAcentral.
CGUAGGUAACCUGCCUCUUAGCGGGGGAUAACUAUUGGAAACGAUAGCUAAUACCGCAUAAAAGUCGAUAUCGCAUGAUAUUGAUUUGAAAGGUGCAAUUGCAUCACUAAGAGGUGGACCUGCGUUGUAUUAGCUAGUUGGUGAGGUAACGGCUCACCAAGGCGACGAUACAUAGCCGACCUGAGAGGGUGAUCGGCCACACUGGGACUGAGACACGGCCCAG